Molecule: non-coding RNA, 29 nt
Filed under: Rattus norvegicus (Norway rat)
Lineage: Eukaryota; Metazoa; Chordata; Mammalia; Rodentia; Muridae
Source: RNAcentral
UGGAUUCUUAAAUUCUUUCUGGCUGUGCU